This 84-nucleotide transfer RNA is filed under the name Marinospirillum insulare. RNAcentral describes it as "tRNA-Tyr". It matches the Rfam family "tRNA". From Rfam's summary of the family: Transfer RNA (tRNA) molecules are approximately 80 nucleotides in length. Their secondary structure includes four short double-helical elements and three loops (D, anti-codon, and T loops). Lineage: Bacteria; Pseudomonadati; Pseudomonadota; Gammaproteobacteria; Oceanospirillales; Oceanospirillaceae. The record is from RNAcentral. RNAcentral also lists the same sequence under 3 other names.
GGAGGGGUACCCUAGUGGUCAAAGGGAGCAGACUGUAAAUCUGCCGCGCGAGCUUCGAAGGUUCGAAUCCUUCCCCCUCCACCA